This 496-nucleotide ribosomal RNA is filed under the name uncultured bacterium. RNAcentral describes it as "partial 16S ribosomal RNA". It matches the Rfam family "Bacterial small subunit ribosomal RNA", at positions 28 to 507 of the family's 1533-position model. The record is from RNAcentral.
GACGAACGCUGGCGGCGUGCCUAAUACAUGCAAGUUGAGCGCUGAAGGUUGGUACUUGUACCUACUGGAUGAGCAGCGAACGGGUGAGUAACGCGUGGGGAAUCUGCCUUUGAGCAGGGGACAACAUUUGGAAACGAAUGCUAAUACCGCAUAAAAACUUUAAACACAAGUUUUAAGUUUGAAAGAUGCAAUUGCAUCACUCAAAGAUGAUCCCGCGUUGUAUUAGCUAGUUGGUGAGGUAAAGGCUCACCAAGGCGAUGAUACAUAGCCGACCUGAGAGGGUGGUCGCCCCCAUUGGACCGGGGACACGGCCCAACUCCUACGGGAGGCAGCAGUAGGGAAUCUUCGGCCAUGGACGAAAGUCUGACCGAGCAACGCCGCGUGAGUGAAGAAGGUUUUCGGAUCGUAAAACUCUGUUGGUAGAGAAGAACGUUGGUGAGAGUGGAAAGCUCAUCAAGUGACGGUAACUACCCAGAAAGGGACGGCUAACUACGUG